Long non-coding RNA from Lagopus leucura (white-tailed ptarmigan), 413 nucleotides. RefSeq lists it as uncharacterized. Lineage: Eukaryota; Metazoa; Chordata; Aves; Galliformes; Phasianidae. The transcript has 2 exons. The record is from RefSeq and is a predicted model, not a curated record.
UCCCUAUGGGUCCCUAUGGGUCUCUAUGGGGCUCUAUGGGUCUCUAUGGGUCCCUAUGGGUCUCUAUGGCUCCCUAUUGGUUCCUAUGGGUCUCUAUUGGUCCCUAUGGGUCUCUAUGGGGUCUCUGUGGGUCACUACGGAAGCCCUGCGGGGGCGUGGCCUGACGCUGACGUCACGCAGGGGGCGGUGCUCGGCGCUCAGGCUCUCCUCUCAUUGGCCACCGCCACGGAAGUGGGGCUGGCUGUGGGCGGGGCAGUGGCGGCCGGAAGAGCUCUGGUAGGGCGGGGCCAAGCGCCAUUGGUCCUCUACCAGACAGCCCCGCCCCCCGCUGCGGCCCCGCCCACCGAAGGGGCGGGUCCUGCCUCGGCCACGCCCACCGGAAGCACCGCUCAAUAAAUGAAAGCAGCCAAUCA